Molecule: ribosomal RNA, 301 nt
Filed under: uncultured bacterium
Lineage: Bacteria
Description: partial 16S ribosomal RNA
Rfam family: Bacterial small subunit ribosomal RNA
Source: RNAcentral
CAGUAGCCGCGGUAAUACGGAGGGUGCAAGCGUUAUCAGGAUUUAUUGGGUUUAAAGGGUCCGUAGGCGGACUUAUAAGUCAGUGGUGAAAGCCUGUCGCUUAACGAUAGAACUGCCAUUGAUACUGUAAGUCUUGAGUAUAUUUGAGGUAGCUGGAAUAAGUAGUGUAGCGGUGAAAUGCAUAGAUAUUACUUAGAACACCAAUUGCGAAGGCAGGUUACCAAGAUAUAACUGACGCUGAGGGACGAAAGCGUGGGUAGCGAACAGGAUUAGAUACCCCUGUAGUCCCUGUCUCUUAUAC